AGUUGAGUUCAGCUCACUCUCAUAGUUGCUAGGAUCAAUGUUAGCACAUAUUAUUUCCCAUUAUACUUGAUUGCAGCUUUGUCAUAGGCCCUACAAAAAAAUGUACAUCAAUUCUCACUCCAAUCUUCAACUAAUUGUUUUUAGACCAAUAAAUUCAAUAUCUGUAUCGGUAUCUGUAUCUGCAGCUUUGCAAACACGUACCUUCUGCGUCGUUCUCAGCAUCAAAUAAUCCCAAAUAAAAGUACCUGUAAAAUCAAUCAUUAAGUUGUGUAAGAGAUUACAAAUGGGGCACAGAAACUUUCCCAUCGACAUUUCAUGUCAUCGGAUUUGGCUAGAAAACAUAUCUUGUUUGCAUAUACCGGAUGUAAAUUGUUUUUGGCCAUACACAGCAAUCAAAUCUGCAACUAAAUAUUUUUGCUCAGAACUGUCAUCAUUAACAUUCAACGGGUAGAUUUUGGAUUUUCAAUCAAUUUUAGAUGCAUUGCGUUGCAUGCAUUUUAUCUGUGCAUAUAUUUCUGAUGAACAGCUAAAUCCUAAUGUGAGUUAUCAAAAGGUCUGCAAUCACACCCAAUGUGAAAAGUAAAAUAAACAGAACACAGAC
Molecule: long non-coding RNA, 601 nt
Filed under: Fragaria vesca (wild strawberry)
Lineage: Eukaryota; Viridiplantae; Streptophyta; Magnoliopsida; Rosales; Rosaceae
Description: long non-coding RNA (FVES_LNC002453)
Source: RNAcentral